GACGAACGCUGGCGGCGUGCUUAACACAUGCAAGUCGAACGGAAAGGCCCUGCUUUUGUGGGGUGCUCGAGUGGCGAACGGGUGAGUAACACGUGAGUAACCUGCCCUUGACUUUGGGAUAACUUCAGGAAACUGGGGCUAAUACCGGAUAGGAGCUCCUGCUGCAUGGUGGGGUUGGAAAGUUUCGGCGGUUGGGGAUGGACUCGCGGCUUAUCAGCUUGUUGGUGGGGUAGUGGCUUACCAAGGCUUUGACGGGUAGCCGGCCUGAGAGGGUGACCGGCCACAUUGGGACUGAGAUACGGCCCAGACUCCUACGGGAGGCAGCAGUGGGGAAUAUUGCACAAUGGGCGGAAGCCUGAUGCAGCAACGCCGCGUGCGGGAUGACGGCCUUCGGGUUGUAAACCGCUUUCCUGUGACGAAGCGUGAGUGACGGUAAUGGGUAAAGAAGCACCGGCUAACUACGUG
Molecule: ribosomal RNA, 465 nt
Filed under: uncultured bacterium
Lineage: Bacteria
Description: partial 16S ribosomal RNA
Rfam family: Bacterial small subunit ribosomal RNA
Source: RNAcentral